This 271-nucleotide ribosomal RNA is filed under the name uncultured prokaryote. RNAcentral describes it as "partial 16S ribosomal RNA". It matches the Rfam family "Bacterial small subunit ribosomal RNA", at positions 524 to 794 of the family's 1533-position model. The record is from RNAcentral.
UACGUAGGUGGCGAGCGUUGUCCGGAAUUACUGGGUGUAAAGGUCGUGUAGGCGGGGAAGCAAGUCAGAUGUGAAAUCCCGGGGCUCAACUCCGGAGUUGCAUCUGAAACUGUUUUUCUUGAGUGCUGGAGAGGAAAGCGGAAUUCCUAGUGUAGCGGUGAAAUGCGUAGAUAUCAGGAGGAACACCAGUUGCGAAGGCGGCUCUCUGGACUGUAACUGACACUGAGGCACGAAAGCGUGGGGAGCAAACAGGAUUAGAUACCCCCGUAGU